This 1404-nucleotide ribosomal RNA is filed under the name metagenome. Its description in RNAcentral is "bacterial LSU rRNA". It matches the Rfam family "Bacterial large subunit ribosomal RNA", at positions 1514 to 2925 of the family's 2925-position model. The record is from RNAcentral.
AAGCAGCAAGUCUGUCGGCGAGUCAAAUGCUUGCCGGCUCAAGGACAAGCUGUGACGGGUAUGAACGAUUUAUCGUUCUAAGUGAGUGACGUCACACUGCCAAGAAAAGCUUCUAGUUAGAAUCAGACCGCCCGUACCGCAGACCGACACAGGUAGUCGGGUCGAGAAGACCAAGGUGAGCGAGAGAACUCUCGUUAAGGAACUCGGCAAAAUGACCCCGUAACUUCGGGAGAAGGGGUGCUGAUCGCAAGAUCAGCCGCAGUGAAUAGGCCCAGGCGACUGUUUAUCAAAAACACAGGUUUCUGCAAAAUCGUAAGAUGAAGUAUAGGGGCUGACGCCUGCCCGGUGCUGGAAGGUUAAGAGGAUGGGUUAGCGCAAGCGAAGCUCAGAAUUGAAGCCCCAGUAAACGGCGGCCGUAACGAUAACGGUCCUAAGGUAGCGAAAUUCCUUGUCGGGUAAGUUCCGACCCGCACGAAAGGCGUAACGAUCUGGGCACUGUCUCAACGAGAGACUCGGUGAAAUUAUAAUACCCGUGAAGAUGCGGGUUACCCGCGACAGGACGGAAAGACCCCAUGGAGCUUUACUGUAGCUUGAUAUUGGGUGUUUGUACAACUUGUACAGGAUAGGUAGGAGCCGUAGAAGUCGGGACGCUAGUUUCGACGGAGGCAUCGGUGGGAUACUACCCUCGUUGUAUGAACACUCUAACCCACGCCGGCAAUCACGGCGGGAGACAGUGUCAGGUGGGCAGUUUGACUGGGGCGGUCGCCUCCUAAAAGGUAACGGAGGCGCCCAAAGGUUCCCUCAGAAUGGUUGGAAAUCAUUCGCAGAGUGUAAAGGCAUAAGGGAGCUUGACUGCGAGACCUACAAGUCGAGCAGGGACGAAAGUCGGGCUUAGUGAUCCGGUGGUUCCGCAUGGAAGGGCCAUCGCUCAACGGAUAAAAGCUACCCUGGGGAUAACAGGCUUAUCUCCCCCAAGAGUCCACAUCGACAGGGAGGUUUGGCACCUCGAUGUCGGCUCAUCGCAUCCUGGGGCUGUAGUCGGUCCCAAGGGUUGGGCUGUUCGCCCAUUAAAGCGGUACGCGAGCUGGGUUCAGAACGUCGUGAGACAGUUCGGUCCCUAUCCGUCGCGGGCGCAGGAAAUUUGAGAGGAUCUGUCCUUAGUACGAGAGGACCGGGAUGGACAUACCGCUGGUGUACCAGUUGUUCUGCCAAGGGCAUCGCUGGGUAGCUAUGUAUGGAUGAGAUAAACGCUGAAAGCAUCUAAGUGCGAAACUCACCUCGAGAUGAGAUUUCCCACUCCUUUAUGGAGUUAAGACCCCUGAGAGAUGAUCAGGUAGAUAGGAUGGAAGUGGAAGUGCGGCGACGCAUGGAGCGGACCAUUACUAAUCGGUCGAGGACUUAACC